This 279-nucleotide long non-coding RNA is filed under the name Elaeis guineensis (African oil palm). RNAcentral describes it as "long non-coding RNA (EGUI_LNC080888)". The record is from RNAcentral. Lineage: Eukaryota; Viridiplantae; Streptophyta; Magnoliopsida; Arecales; Arecaceae.
UAUAUAAUAUUGGUUUGGAGUAAAAUGAGUAUGUCAAUUAAAAUUUUUUCCUAUCUUUGUUUGAUUAGUCCAUUUUGUGUUUUGAAGUUGCGCUCUCCAAAAUAUCCCUAGACCUCCAAAAUCGGAGGUAAGAUUUGAUCCCAUUUUAGUUGAUCCAACGACCAAAGAUUUUUACCAACUUAAUAUGUAUAUAUAUAUACAUACACACACACACACAUAUAUAUAUAUAUAGACACACACAUAUACAUACACAUAUACGCACACACACACACACACACA